AAGCAGAGGGGGCUUAGUGGUGGGGUGACUGCGUACCUUUUGUAUAAUGGGUCAGCGACUUAUAUUCUGUAGCAAGGUUAACCGAAUAGGGGAGCCGGAGGGAAACCGAGUCUUAAUUGGGCGUUAAGUUGCAGGGUAUAGACCCGAAACCCGGUGAUCUAGCCAUGGGCAGGUUGAAGGUUGGGUAACACUAACUGGAGGACCGAACCGACUAAUGUUGAAAAAUUAGCGGAUGACCUGUGGCUGGGGGUGAAAGGCCAAUCAAACCGGGAGAUAGCUGGUUCUCCCCGAAAGCUAUUUAGGUAGCACCUCGUGAAUUCAUCUCCGGGGGUAGAGCACUGUUUCGGCUAGGGGGCCAUCCCGGCUUACCAACCCGAUGCAAACUGCGAAUACCGGAGAAUGUUAUCACGGGAGACACACGGCGGGUGCUAACGUCCGUCGUGAAGAGGGAAACAACCCAGACCGCCAGCUAAGGUCCCAAAGUCAUGGUUAAGUGGGAAACGAUGUGGGAAGGCCCAGACAGCCAGGAUGUUGGCUUAGAAGCAGCCAUCAUUUAAAGAAAGCGUAAUAGCUCACUGGUCGAGUCGGCCUGCGCGGAAGAUGUAACGGGGCUAAACCAUGCACCGAAGCUGCGGCAGCGAACGUAUCACCCAAGACAACUUUACGGAGUUGACGAUUGACGGAGCGAAGCGACGUCAAAGCGUUCAUUAAAGUCGAGUUGGCUUAGGGAUACGUUCGUUGGGUAGGGGAGCGUUCUGUAAGCCUGUGAAGGUGGCCUGUGAGGGUUGCUGGAGGUAUCAGAAGUGCGAAUGCUGACAUAAGUAACGAUAAAGCGGGUGAAAAGCCCGCUCGCCGGAAGACCAAGGGUUCCUGUCCAACGUUAAUCGGGGCAGGGUGAGUCGACCCCUAAGGCGAGGCCGAAAGGCGUAGUCGAUGGGAAACGGGUUAAUAUUCCCGUACUUGGUGUUACUGCGAAGGGGGGACGGAGAAGGCUAUGUUGGCCGGGCGACGGUUGUCCCGGUUUAAGCGUGUAGGUGUGUGUUCCAGGUAAAUCCGGUUCACUUUAACACUGAGGCGUGA
This 1080-nucleotide ribosomal RNA is filed under the name Salmonella enterica. RNAcentral describes it as "partial 23S ribosomal RNA". It matches the Rfam family "Bacterial large subunit ribosomal RNA", at positions 568 to 1566 of the family's 2925-position model. Lineage: Bacteria; Pseudomonadati; Pseudomonadota; Gammaproteobacteria; Enterobacterales; Enterobacteriaceae. The record is from RNAcentral.